Molecule: ribosomal RNA, 497 nt
Filed under: uncultured bacterium
Lineage: Bacteria
Description: partial 16S ribosomal RNA
Rfam family: Bacterial small subunit ribosomal RNA
Source: RNAcentral
GAUGAACGCUGGCGGCGUGCCUAAUACAUGCAAGUCGAGCGAACAGACGAGGAGCUUGCUCCUCUGACGUUAUCGCCGGACGGGUGAGUCACACGUGGUUAACCUACCUAUAAGACUGGGAUAACUUCGGGAAACCGGAGCUAAUACCGGAUAAUAUAUUGAACCGCAUGGUUCAAUAGUGAAAGACGGUUUUGCUGUCACUUAUAGAUGGAUCCGCGCCGCAUUCGCUAGUUGGUAAGGUAACGGCUUACCAAGGCAACGAUGCGUACCCGACCUGAGAGGGAGAUCGGCCACACUGGAACUGAGACACAGUCGAGACUCCUACGGGAGGCAGCAGUAGGGAAUCUUCCGCAAUGGGCGAAAGCCGGACGGAGCAACGCCGCGUGAGGGAUGAAGGUCUUCGGAUCGUAAAACGCUGUUAUUAGGGAAGAAGAAAUGUGUAAGUAACUAUGCACGUCUUGACGGUACCGAAACAGAAAGCCACGGCUAACUACGUG